This 69-nucleotide transfer RNA is filed under the name Eutetrapha metallescens. RNAcentral describes it as "tRNA-Gly". The record is from RNAcentral. Lineage: Eukaryota; Metazoa; Arthropoda; Insecta; Coleoptera; Cerambycidae.
AUUUAUAUAAUAUAUAUACAAUUAUAUUUGACUUCCAAUCAAAAAAUCUAGAUUAUUCUAGUAUAAAUA